GCUUCUGUAGCUCAGUCGGUUUAGAGCGUCGUGCUAAUAACGCGAAGGUCGUGGGUUCGAUCCCCACUAGAAGCA
Molecule: transfer RNA, 75 nt
Organism: Vavraia culicis subsp. floridensis
Lineage: Eukaryota; Fungi; Microsporidia; Pleistophoridae
Rfam family: tRNA
About the family: Transfer RNA (tRNA) molecules are approximately 80 nucleotides in length. Their secondary structure includes four short double-helical elements and three loops (D, anti-codon, and T loops). Further hydrogen bonds mediate the characteristic L-shaped molecular structure. tRNAs have two regions of fundamental functional importance: the anti-codon, which is responsible for specific mRNA codon recognition, and the 3' end, to which the tRNAs corresponding amino acid is attached (by aminoacyl-tRNA synthetases). tRNAs cope with the degeneracy of the genetic code in two manners: having more than one tRNA (with a specific anti-codon) for a particular amino acid; and 'wobble' base-pairing, i.e. permitting non-standard base-pairing at the 3rd anti-codon position.
Source: Rfam